UUGGGGUGUGACUGCGUACCUUUUGUAUAAUGGGUCAGCGACUUAUAUUCUGUAGCAAGGUUAACCGUAUAGGGGAGCCGGAGGGAAACCGAGUCUUAACCGGGCGUUAAGUUGCAGGGUAUAGACCCGAAACCCGGUGAUCUAGCCAUGGGCAGGUUGAAGGUUGGGUAACACUAACUGGAGGACCGAACCGACUAAUGUUGAAAAAUUAGCGGAUGACCUGUGGCUGGGGGUGAAAGGCCAAUCAAACCGGGAGAUAGCUGGUUCUCCCCGAAAGCUAUUUAGGUAGCGCCUCGUGAAUUCAUCUCCGGGGGUAGAGCACUGUUUCGGCUAGGGGGCCAUCCCGGCUUACCAACCCGAUGCAAACUGCGAAUACCGGAGAAUGUUAUCACGGGAGACACACGGCGGGUGCUAACGUCCGUCGUGAAGAGGGAAACAACCCAGACCGCCAGCUAAGGUCCCAAAGUCAUGGUUAAGUGGGAAACGAUGUGGGAAGGCCCAGACAGCCAGGAUGUUGGCUUAGAAGCAGCCAUCAUUUAAAGAAAGCGUAAUAGCUCACUGGUCGAGUCGGCCUGCGCGGAAGAUGUAACGGGGCUAAACCAUGCACCGAAGCUGCGGCAGCGACGCUGAUGCGUUGUUGGGUAGGGGAGCGUUCUGUAAGCCUGCGAAGGUGGCCUGUGAGGGUUGCUGGAGGUAUCAGAAGUGCGAAUGCUGACAUAAGUAACGAUAAAGCGGGUGAAAAGCCCGCUCGCCGGAAGACCAAGGGUUCCUGUCCAACGUUAAUCGGGGCAGGGUGAGUCGACCCCUAAGGCGAGGCCGAAAGGCGUAGUCGAUGGGAAACGGGUUAAUAUUCCCGUACUUGGUGUUACUGCGAAGGGGGGACGGAGAAGGCUAUGUUGGCCGGGCGACGGUUGUCCCGGUUUAAGCGUGUAGGUGUGUGUUCCAGGUAAAUCCGGUUCACUUUAACACUGAGGCGUGAUGACGAGGCACUACGGUGCUGAAGCAACAAAUGCCCUGCUUCCAGGAAAAGCCUCUAAGCAUCAGGUAACAUCAAAUCGUACCCCAAACCGACACAGGUGGUCAGGUAGAGAAUACCAAGGCGCUUGAGAGAACUCGGGUGAAGGAACUAGGCAAAAUGGUGCCGUAACUUCGGGAGAAGGCACGCUGACA
RNAcentral lists this ribosomal RNA (1170 nucleotides) under Salmonella enterica. Its description in RNAcentral is "partial 23S ribosomal RNA". It matches the Rfam family "Bacterial large subunit ribosomal RNA", at positions 586 to 1756 of the family's 2925-position model. The record is from RNAcentral. Lineage: Bacteria; Pseudomonadati; Pseudomonadota; Gammaproteobacteria; Enterobacterales; Enterobacteriaceae.